AUGGUUCUGGAGGACGAGAGCAGGGACGACAACUCAAGCCUCCCGUACAUGCACUCCGAAACCUCCACCGAUGGGCUGAACCAGGAAGGUCAGAAUUGUGGGUUUGUUCAGUGGGUUGAUGAGCAGUGGCCCCCAACAAUGGAGAAUGCAUUGCUGAAGCUUUGGUCAAUGGUUGAAGAGAGCAAGUCUGCUAGGGUGAAUGAUAAUCUUCAAAGUGCUCUAACUAUUCAUCAGUUGACAGAAGAAAAGAACAAGCUGGAUGCAGACUAUGACAAGUUAGUGAAAGAUGUGCAUCAACUUGUGGACUUUCAGCAGGAUAGGGUUGUGGAUUUCAGUUAUCUAUAG
RNAcentral lists this ribosomal RNA (345 nucleotides) under Triticum aestivum (bread wheat). RNAcentral's name for it is "partial small subunit ribosomal RNA". Lineage: Eukaryota; Viridiplantae; Streptophyta; Magnoliopsida; Poales; Poaceae. The record is from RNAcentral.